Molecule: ribosomal RNA, 253 nt
Filed under: uncultured bacterium
Lineage: Bacteria
Description: partial 16S ribosomal RNA
Rfam family: Bacterial small subunit ribosomal RNA
Source: RNAcentral
UACGGGGGGGGUAAGCGUUGUUCGGAAUUACUGGGCGUAAAGCGCGUGUAGGCGGUCCGUUUAGUCGGCUGGGAAAGUCAAGGGCUCAACCCUUGAAUGCCGGUCGAUACUGUCGGACUAGAGUCCGGAAGAGGCAAGUGGAAUUCCCGGUGUAGCGGUGAAAUGCGUAGAUAUCUGGAGGAAUACCGGUGGCGAAGGCGGCAUCCUGGAGCGGCAUUGACGCUGAUGAGCGAAAGCUAGGGGAGCAAACGGG